Brassica rapa (field mustard) is the source of this 267-nucleotide long non-coding RNA. RefSeq lists it as uncharacterized. NCBI's taxonomy places the organism in Eukaryota, Viridiplantae, Streptophyta, Magnoliopsida, Brassicales, Brassicaceae. The record is from RefSeq and is a predicted model, not a curated record.
GAAGGAGAUUGGAUGCUCGUUGGUGAUGUUCCAUGGAGGAUACUUGUGAAGCAAGUAAAAGGAAGAAACAGAAGCUAGGUUGAUCUUAUUCAGUUUGUGAUGUUUCAUUGGUUCUUCUAAUGUUCUUUAAGGGUUUUUUUUUGGCUUGAUGUCUUUUGUUUUACUGUUGCUAUUACUAUGGAAGAGAAUGCUCUUUAUUUGUUUUACUACACUGUAAAUAUUUGAAGCUUGUCUAAUAUCAUUUUGUGGGUUUAGUUUAUGAGUUCA